UACGUAGGUGGCUAGCGUUGUCCGGAUUUACUGGGCGUAAAGAGCGCGCAGGCGGUCGUUCAAGUCGAGUGUGAAAGCCCCCGGCUCAACUGGGGAGGGUCACUCGAUACUGAUCGACUUGAAGGCGGGAGAGGGAAGCGGAAUUCCCGGUGUAGUGGUGAAAUGCGUAGAUAUGUGGAGGAACACCAGUGGCGAAGGCGACUCUUUGGCCUGUAACUGACACUGAGGCGCGAAAGCGUGGGGAGCAAACAGG
RNAcentral lists this ribosomal RNA (253 nucleotides) under uncultured bacterium. RNAcentral describes it as "partial 16S ribosomal RNA". It matches the Rfam family "Bacterial small subunit ribosomal RNA", at positions 524 to 776 of the family's 1533-position model. The record is from RNAcentral.